GGGGCCGUAGUCUAGCCUGGCUAGGAUGCCGGCCUGGGGUCGGACCCCGCUAGAACGCCGGUGAUCCCGGGUUCAAAUCCCGGCGGCCCCA
Pyrobaculum aerophilum str. IM2 is the source of this 91-nucleotide transfer RNA. It matches the Rfam family "tRNA". Rfam says of the family: Transfer RNA (tRNA) molecules are approximately 80 nucleotides in length. Their secondary structure includes four short double-helical elements and three loops (D, anti-codon, and T loops). The record is from Rfam. NCBI's taxonomy places the organism in Archaea, Thermoproteati, Thermoproteota, Thermoprotei, Thermoproteales, Thermoproteaceae.